RNAcentral lists this ribosomal RNA (433 nucleotides) under uncultured bacterium. RNAcentral describes it as "partial 16S ribosomal RNA". It matches the Rfam family "Bacterial small subunit ribosomal RNA", at positions 29 to 507 of the family's 1533-position model. The record is from RNAcentral.
AACGAACGCUGGCGGCAGGCCUAACACAUGCAAGUCGAGCGGACCCUUCGGGGUUAGCGGCGGACGGGUGAGUAACGCGUGGGAAUAUGCCCUUCUCUACGGAAUAGUCCUGGGAAACUGGGGGUAAUACCGUAUACACCCUUUGGGGGAAAGAUUUAUCGGGGAAGGAUUAGCCCGCGUUGGAUUAGGUAGUUGGUGGGGUAAUGGCCUACCAAGCCGACGAUCCAUAGCUGGUUGGAGAGGAUGAUCAGCCACACUGGGACUGAGACACGGCCCAGACUCCUACGGGAGGCAGCAGUGGGGAAUCUUAGACAAUGGGGGCAACCCUGAUCUAGCCAUGCCGCGUGAGUGAUGAAGGCCUUAGGGUUGUAAAGCUCUUUCAGCUGGGAAGAUAAUGACGGUACCAGCAGAAGAAGCCCCGGCUAACUCCGUG